Molecule: ribosomal RNA, 641 nt
Filed under: Pseudohydnum gelatinosum
Lineage: Eukaryota; Fungi; Basidiomycota; Agaricomycetes; Auriculariales
Description: eukaryotic LSU rRNA
Rfam family: Eukaryotic large subunit ribosomal RNA
Source: RNAcentral
CUCUGGCCUCAAAUCAGGCAGGACUACCCGCUGAACUUAAGCAUAUCAAUAAGCGGAGGAAAAGAAACUAACAAGGAUUCCCCUAGUAACGGCGAGUGAAGCGGGAAAAGCUCAAAUUUGAAAUCUGGCGGUCUACGGCCGUCCGAGUUGUAGUCUAGAGAGGUGUCUUCUGCGUCGGACCAUGCACAAGUCCCUUGGAACAGGGCGUCAUAGAGGGUGAGAAUCCCGUCCGUGGCAUGGACUCCCGGUGCUUUGUGAUGCGCCUUCGAAGAGUCGAGUUGUUUGGGAAUGCAGCUCAAAAUGGGUGGUAAAUUCCAUCUAAAGCUAAAUACAGGCGAGAGACCGAUAGCGAACAAGUACCGUGAGGGAAAGAUGAAAAGCACUUUGGAAAGAGAGUUAAACAGUACGUGAAAUUGUUGAAAGGGAAACGCUUGGAGUCAGUCGCGUUUGCCGGGACUCAGCCUUGCUUCUGCUUGGUGCACUUCCUGGUACACGGGCCAGCAUCGAUUUUGAUCGCCGGAAAAAGGCUUGGGGAAGGUGGCACCUUCGGGUGUGUUAUAGCCCCUUGUUGUAUACGGUGGUUGGGAUUGAGGACCGCAGCACGCCUUUUGGUCGGGGUAUCGCCCACGCCACGUGCUUAG